AUCAAUGUAUUAAUUGUUUGGACAUGCCUCAGUGGACACAACUGUGUGUGUGUGUGUGUGUGUGUGUGUACCUGUGUAUGACACAGAGUGAUAAAUUGUUAGUAAUUAAUUAAUAUAAUAUCUUGAAUGUGCUGCUAUCAGCAUGAAGGUCUGUUUGAGUAAAGGCUAUAGCCCACUUUACCCAUACAUUUAUUUGAUCAAGUGGAGGUGCCAAAUGCGGAUCUUG
Labrus mixtus (cuckoo wrasse) is the source of this 226-nucleotide long non-coding RNA. RefSeq lists it as uncharacterized. Lineage: Eukaryota; Metazoa; Chordata; Actinopteri; Labriformes; Labridae. The transcript is spliced from 2 exons. The record is from RefSeq and is a predicted model, not a curated record.